Molecule: transfer RNA, 67 nt
Filed under: Cavia porcellus (domestic guinea pig)
Lineage: Eukaryota; Metazoa; Chordata; Mammalia; Rodentia; Caviidae
Rfam family: tRNA
About the family: Transfer RNA (tRNA) molecules are approximately 80 nucleotides in length. Their secondary structure includes four short double-helical elements and three loops (D, anti-codon, and T loops).
Source: Rfam by way of RNAcentral
GUGUAGCUCAGUGGUCGAGCUCUUGCCUAUUAGGCAUGAGCAAGGCUCUGGGUUAGAUCCCCAGCAC